AUUUUAAAUUACAUAACUUGAACUCACAUUAAUCCUUGAGUUUUUGAAUCCACAAAACCAAAUUCACCUUAAUGGUAAGAAGUCCAGAUUAAAAGGCAAUUAAUGCGAUAAGCAACUAUAAUGAUAAUUCACCAAUAAGCACAAGUUCAAGGAGAAAACAAUGAUGAAUCAAGCAAAUGAUUAACUUGAUCUACAACAAAAUCAACAAAGCAUUGUACUUUAAUAUUGUCAACGAGAAAAGAAAGAAAGGGACAAUAACAGAAAGCUCACCAAUAGUGGGAAUAGUGGU
This 289-nucleotide unclassified non-coding RNA is filed under the name Hevea brasiliensis (rubber tree). The record is from RNAcentral. Lineage: Eukaryota; Viridiplantae; Streptophyta; Magnoliopsida; Malpighiales; Euphorbiaceae.